This 465-nucleotide ribosomal RNA is filed under the name Vibrio parahaemolyticus. RNAcentral's name for it is "bacterial SSU rRNA". It matches the Rfam family "Bacterial small subunit ribosomal RNA", at positions 338 to 795 of the family's 1533-position model. The record is from RNAcentral. Lineage: Bacteria; Pseudomonadati; Pseudomonadota; Gammaproteobacteria; Vibrionales; Vibrionaceae.
CCUACGGGUGGCAGCAGUAGGGAAUCUUCGGCAAUGGGGGGAACCCUGACCGAGCAACGCCGCGUGAGUGAAGAAGGUUUUCGGAUCGUAAAGCUCUGUUGUAAGAGAAGAACGAGUGUGAGAGUGGAAAGUUCACACUGUGACGGUAUCUUACCAGAAAGGGACGGCUAACUACGUGCCAGCAGCCGCGGUAAUACGUAGGUCCCGAGCGUUGUCCGGAUUUAUUGGGCGUAAAGCGAGCGCAGGCGGUUAGAUAAGUCUGAAGUUAAAGGCUGUGGCUUAACCAUAGUACGCUUUGGAAACUGUUUAACUUGAGUGCAAGAGGGGAGAGUGGAAUUCCAUGUGUAGCGGUGAAAUGCGUAGAUAUAUGGAGGAACACCGGUGGCGAAAGCGGCUCUCUGGCUUGUAACUGACGCUGAGGCUCGAAAGCGUGGGGAGCAAACAGGAUUAGAUACCCGAGUAGUC